GUUCCUGUAGCGCAAGGGGUAUUGCGUUGGACUUCUAAUCCAAAGGUCGUGGGUUCGAAUUCCACCUGGGAUG
Non-coding RNA from Trichonephila clavata, 73 nucleotides. Lineage: Eukaryota; Metazoa; Arthropoda; Arachnida; Araneae; Nephilidae. The record is from the annotation of a GenBank genome assembly.